Oryza punctata is the source of this 119-nucleotide non-coding RNA. NCBI's taxonomy places the organism in Eukaryota, Viridiplantae, Streptophyta, Magnoliopsida, Poales, Poaceae. The record is from Rfam.
GGAUACGAUAAGACCAGCACUGAAGCACCGGAUCCCAUCAGAACUCCGAAGUUAAGCCUCCUUGGGCGAGACUAGUACUAGGAUCGGUGACCUCCUAGGAAGUCCUCGUGUUGCAUCCC